AGCGAACGCUGGCGGCAGGCUUAACACAUGCAAGUCGAGGGGCUCGGCCGACGGGUGAGUACCGCGUGGGAACGUACCUUUUGGUUCGGAACAACACAGGGAAACUUGUGCUACUCCCGGAGACCGAAAAAUAGGCCCGCGUCGGAUUAGCUAGUUGGAGAGUUACUGGCGCACCAAGGCGACGAUCAGUAGCUGGUCUGAGAGGAUGAUCAGCCACAUUGGGACGGAGACACGGCCCAAAAUCCUACGGAAGGCGGCAGUGGGGAAUAUUGGAAAAUGGGGGCAACCAUGAUCAAGCCAAGCCGGGUGAGUGAUGAAGGCCCUAGUGUUGUAAAGCUCUUUUGUGCGGGAAGCGGUACCGUCAGAAUAAGCACCGGCUAACUUCGUGCGAGAAGCCGCGGGAAUUC
RNAcentral lists this ribosomal RNA (407 nucleotides) under uncultured bacterium. RNAcentral describes it as "partial 16S ribosomal RNA". It matches the Rfam family "Bacterial small subunit ribosomal RNA", at positions 29 to 526 of the family's 1533-position model. The record is from RNAcentral.